RNAcentral lists this ribosomal RNA (446 nucleotides) under uncultured bacterium. RNAcentral's name for it is "bacterial SSU rRNA". It matches the Rfam family "Bacterial small subunit ribosomal RNA", at positions 331 to 793 of the family's 1533-position model. The record is from RNAcentral.
CCAGACUCCUACGGGAGGCAGCAGUGGGGGAUAUUGCACAAUGGGGGGAACCCUGAUGCAGCGACGCCGCGUGGGUGAAGAAGUAUUUCGGUAUGUAAAGCCCUAUCGGCAGGGAAGAAAUUGGACGGUACCUGACUAAGAAGCCCCGGCUAACUACGUGCCAGCAGCCGCGGUAAAACGUAGGGUGCAAGCGUUGUCCGGAAUUACUGGGUGUAAAGGGAGCGCAGGCGGAUUGACAAGUUGGGAGUGAAAACUACGGGCUCAACCCGUAACCUGCUUUCAAAACUGUCAGUCUUGAGUGGUGUAGAGGUAGGCGGAAUUCCCGGUGUAGCGGUGGAAUGCGUAGAUAUCGGGAGGAACACCGGCGGCGAAGGCGGCCUGCUGGACCGUGACUGACGUUGAGGCUCGAGAGCGUGGGGAGCAAACAGGAUUAGAUACCCCAGUAC